GAUGAACGCUGGCGGCGUGCUUAACACAUGCAAGUCGAACGGAAAGGCUCCUGCUUGCAGGGGUACUCGAGUGGCGAACGGGUGAGUAACACGUGGGUGAUCUGCCCUGCACUUCGGGAUAAGCCUGGGAAACUGGGUCUAAUACCGGAUAGGACCACAUUUUGGAUGGUGUGGUGGAAAGUUUUUCGGUGUGGGAUGAGCUCGCGGCCUAUCAGCUUGUUGGUGGGGUAAUGGCCUACCAAGGCGUCGACGGGUAGCCGGCCUGAGAGGGUGUACGGCCACAUUGGGACUGAGAUACGGCCCAGACUCCUACGGGAGGCAGCAGUGGGGAAUAUUGCACAAUGGGCGCAAGCCUGAUGCAGCGACGCCGCGUGGGGGAUGACGGCCUUCGGGUUGUAAACUCCUUUCGCUAGGGAAGAAGCGUUUUUGUGACGGUACCUGGAGAAGAAGCACCGGCUAACUACGUG
Molecule: ribosomal RNA, 467 nt
Filed under: uncultured bacterium
Lineage: Bacteria
Description: partial 16S ribosomal RNA
Rfam family: Bacterial small subunit ribosomal RNA
Source: RNAcentral